This 131-nucleotide non-coding RNA is filed under the name Vibrio sp. Lineage: Bacteria; Pseudomonadati; Pseudomonadota; Gammaproteobacteria; Vibrionales; Vibrionaceae. The record is from RNAcentral.
ACUUAAUUGACAGCUUGAGUUUUACUGAUGGACAAUGCCCAAACUUCGGAAUGCAGUGAAACUCUGCAGCGGACGCGCCACUGUAAAGGAUACUUCCUGAGCCAGACACGAAGCCCUAAAAUUGUACGCGA